CUACGGGAGGCAGCAGUAGGGAAUAUUGGACAAUGGGCGCAAGCCUGAUCCAGCCAUGCCGCGUGAGUGAUGAAGGCCCUAGGGUUGUAAAGCUCUUUCGCCAGGGACGAUAAUGACGGUACCUGGAUAAGAAGCCCCGGCUAACUUCGUGCCAGCAGCCGCGGUAAUACGAAGGGGGCUAGCGUUGUUCGGAAUUACUGGGCGUAAAGCGCACGUAGGCGGAUUGUUAAGUGAGGGGUGAAAUCCCAGGGCUCAACCCUGGAACUGCCUUUCAUACUGGCAAUCUAGAGUCCGGAAGAGGUGAGUGGAAUUCCGAGUGUAGAGGUGAAAUUCGUAGAUAUUCGGAGGAACACCAGUGGCGAAGGCGGCUCACUGGUCCGGUACUGACGCUGAGGUGCGAAAGCGUGGGGAGCAAACAGGAUUAGAAACCCGUGUAGUCC
This 440-nucleotide ribosomal RNA is filed under the name uncultured bacterium. RNAcentral describes it as "bacterial SSU rRNA". It matches the Rfam family "Bacterial small subunit ribosomal RNA", at positions 339 to 796 of the family's 1533-position model. The record is from RNAcentral.